AUUGAACGCUGGCGGCAUGCUUUACACAUGCAAGUCGGACGGCAGCACAGAGAAGCUUGCUUCUUGGGUGGCGAGUGGCGAACGGGUGAGUAAUAUAUCGGAACGUACCGAGCAGUGGGGGAUAACUAAUCGAAAGAUUAGCUAAUACCGCAUAUAUUCUGAGGAAGAAAGCAGGGGACCAUUUGGCCUUGAGCUGUUUGAGCGGCCGAUAUCUGACUAGCUAGUUGGUGGGGUAAAGGCCUACCAAGGCGACGAUCAGUAGCGGGUCUGAGAGGAUGAUCCGCCACACUGGGACUGAGACACGGCCCAGACUCCUACGGGAGGCAGCAGUGGGGAAUUUUGGACAAUGGGCGCAAGCCUGAUCCAGCCAU
This 371-nucleotide ribosomal RNA is filed under the name Neisseria mucosa. RNAcentral describes it as "bacterial SSU rRNA". It matches the Rfam family "Bacterial small subunit ribosomal RNA", at positions 30 to 395 of the family's 1533-position model. The record is from RNAcentral. Lineage: Bacteria; Pseudomonadati; Pseudomonadota; Betaproteobacteria; Neisseriales; Neisseriaceae.